UAGAACGUAAUUUAAUGGUAAAAUAAUGAAUUCCAAAUUCAUUCUUGUAAGUUCGAGUCUUACCGUUUUCG
Paramicrosporidium saccamoebae is the source of this 71-nucleotide non-coding RNA. The record is from the annotation of a GenBank genome assembly. Lineage: Eukaryota; Fungi; Rozellomycota.